CACUGAUCUUGUUACUGGCAGCAGAAGAAUCUGCAUCUGAAGGAACACCAAGAUAAGAAGCACCUAAAGGGUCCCUCGCUGUCUGGAAAAGUACUGGCUCAUGAACAGAUGGUGUAGCUACAUCCACUGUUGUCCAUGCUACACUGUGGGAAGAUCCACAAGCAACUCGAGUGAUUUUCUGGCCUUCCAAGCCCUGUACAAGAGUGGGCUUCCUAUUGACUGUAGUAGUUCCAUUCCCUUGUUGCCCAUGGUCAUUGUCACCCCAAGCAUAAACCUGUCCAGUGUCAGUAACUGCCAGACAGUGGAGGGCACCUACUGCCACAUGCACGAUCUUUUUGCCCCUCAGACCCUCCACUACUUGAGGCUUUCGUACAUGUACAUCAGUGCCAUGGCCUAGCCUGAAGUAAUCUCCCUUACCCCACGUCCAUACCACUCCUGACUUGGUCAAUGCCAACGAGAACUGUGCACCACACUCGAUCUGACAAACGCCUUGGCCGUUUAGUCUUUCAAUGUUCUGAGGAAUAUUGCAUCCUUCACUUCCUCCUCGGCCCAGUUUUCCAAAAUCACCAUCACCCCAAGAAAACACCAAACCUUCAUCUGUCAAAGCAAGAGUCUGAGCAUCUCUGCUUCCACAAGCAACCUGAAUUACUCUGUGGCCAAGGAGCACUUUAACCAUCUUCGGCUUCAGCUGUGUAGUAUUAUCUCCAUGUCCUAACCUUCCAUAUUCUCCAAGACCCCACGUAUACAGUUCACCACUAGAGGUAAUGGCAGCACUGUGGGAGCUGCCACAAGCAAUAUCACGGAUACGUUUGGUUUUCAGUGCUUCUAUCAAUCUGGGUUUAUCACAAUUCAUUCGACUGAAGUGGCCAAGUUUGCCAUCAUCUCCUUCACCCCAUGAAAAUAUCUUUCCAUCUACAGUUAAUGCCAUGGCAUGUCGGCCGCCUGAGUGAACAGCCACCUUCUUUACAACGUAGUUACUGAGAGCUGUUAUCUGGCGGGGAAUAGGCACAGUUCCACUGGAUAUUCCUAAGCCCAACCUUCCAUUCGUGGCUUCUCCACAAGCAUAUACCUUACCCUCUACAGUCACUGCAAAAAGGCUUUUGGAUCCUCCAGCUACCUGUACAACAUUCAAGGCAGACAGGGUUUCAGAAAAUGAAGGAACCUUUAUCUUGGAGCCUUUCAGUCCUCCCAACUGAUCUUUGUCAUUCAGUCCCCAGACAAAAACUUUGGUUCUUAUUGUAGCUGCUGAUUCCAGCCCAGCUGCCUUCUUUCUAACAAGACUCCCUGUAUUAGCUUUGUCAUCAUCCUCUUCCUCGUUAUCAGAAGCAAGGAAAGGGACCGCUGCCAAAUCCUCA
This 1355-nucleotide long non-coding RNA is filed under the name Gallus gallus (chicken). The record is from RNAcentral. Lineage: Eukaryota; Metazoa; Chordata; Aves; Galliformes; Phasianidae.